RNAcentral lists this ribosomal RNA (249 nucleotides) under uncultured bacterium. RNAcentral describes it as "partial 16S ribosomal RNA". It matches the Rfam family "Bacterial small subunit ribosomal RNA", at positions 102 to 353 of the family's 1533-position model. The record is from RNAcentral.
ACGGGUGAGUAAUGUCUGGGAAACUGCCUGAUGAGGGGGAUAACUACUGGAAACGGUAGCUAAUACCGCAUAACGUCGCAAGACCAAAGAGGGGGACCUUCGGGCCUCUUGCCAUCAGAUGUGCCCAGAUGGGAUUAGCUAGUAGGUGGGGUAACGGCUCACCUAGGCGACGAUCCCUAGCUGGUCUGAGAGGAUGACCAGCCACACUGGAACUGAGACACGGUCCAGACUCCUACGGGAGGCAGCAUG